GAUGAAGAACGUAGCGAAAUGCGAUAAGUAAUGCGAAUUGCAGAAUUCCGUGAGUCAUCGAAUCUUUGAACGCACAUUGCGCCCCUUGGUAUUCCAUGGGGCAUGCCUGUUCGAGCGUCAUUUGUACCUUCAAGCUCUGCUUGGUGUUGGGUGUUUGUCUCGCCUCUGCGUGUAGACUCGCCUCAAAACAAUUGGCAGCCGGCGUAUUGAUUUCGGAGCGCAGUACAUCUCGCGCUUUGCACUCAUAACGACGACGUCCAAAAGUACAUUUUUACACUCUUGACCUCGGAUCAGGUAGGGAUACCCGCUGAACUUAAGCAUAUCAAUAAGCGGAGGA
RNAcentral lists this unclassified non-coding RNA (337 nucleotides) under soil metagenome. Its description in RNAcentral is "partial contains 5.8S ribosomal RNA, internal transcribed spacer 2, and large subunit ribosomal RNA". The stretch from base 1 to 120 matches the Rfam family "5.8S ribosomal RNA", at positions 35 to 154 of the family's 154-position model. The record is from RNAcentral.